AAGGGUCGGGCCAUGCGUCGUCUUCGGCACGAACGGGACGGCGUUGCCGCCGAACUCCAAGGCGAGCGCGAGCAGCUCCGGGUGAGCCUGGAGAAGCUCGCUAAGGCUGAGGAGGAGCUUUCGAUCGCCCAGGCCGACGCCGACAUAGCAAAGGCGGAGGCAGAGUCGGCGAAGGAGUCGCUCGGCCGGGCGGAGGAAGAGGCAA
This 205-nucleotide long non-coding RNA is filed under the name Elaeis guineensis (African oil palm). RNAcentral describes it as "long non-coding RNA (EGUI_LNC033685)". Lineage: Eukaryota; Viridiplantae; Streptophyta; Magnoliopsida; Arecales; Arecaceae. The record is from RNAcentral.